ACGCUUGUCUCAAAGAUUAAGCCAUGCAUGUCUAAGUACAUACCUUUGCACGGUGAAACCGCGAAUGGCUCAUUAAAUCAGUUAUGGUUCCUUAGAUCGUUCAUACUACAUGGAUAACUGUGGUAAUUCUAGAGCUAAUACAUGCAAAAAGCUCCGACCGUAUGGGAAGAGCGCUUUUAUUAGACCAAAACCAAUGGGGUCGCAAGAUCCCUUUGUAUGGUGACUCUGGAUAACUUUGUGCUGAUCGCAUGGCCUCGAGCCGGCGACGUAUCUUUCAAGUGUCUGCCCUAUCAACUUUCGAUGGUAAGCGAUUUGCCUACCAUGGUUGUAACGGGUAACGGGGAAUCAGGGUUCGAUUCCGGAGAGGGAGCAUGAGAAAUGGCUACCACAUCUACGGAAGGCAGCAGGCGCGCAAAUUACCCACUCCUAGAAUGGGGGAGGUAGUGACGAAAAAUAACAAUACCGGACUCAAUGAGGCUCGGUAAUUGAAAUGAGUACAGUUUAAAACCCUUAACGAGGAUCUAUUGGAGGGCAAGUCUGGUGCCAGCAGCCGCGGUAAUUCCAGCUCCAAUAGCGUAUAUUAAAGUUGUUGCAGUUAAAAAGCUCGUAGUUGGAUCUCGGGUACUAGCAUGUGGUACGCUUAACUGCUGUUACUACAUGUCUGGUCCUAAUCAACCGGUUGGCCGUUGAUGCCCUUUAUUGGGUGUUUUCGGUAGCCGGUACGUUUACUUUGAGAAAAUUAGAGUGCUUAAAGCAGGCCUUACGCCUGAAUAAUGUUGCAUGGAAUAAUAGAAUAGGACCUCGGUUCUAUUUUGUUGGUUUUGUAGAGCAUUGAGGUAAUGAUUAAUAGGGACAGACGGGGGCAUUCGUAUUGCGGUGUUAGAGGUGAAAUUCUUGGAUCGCCGCAAGACGAACAACUGCGAAAGCAUUU
This 931-nucleotide ribosomal RNA is filed under the name uncultured eukaryote. RNAcentral describes it as "SSU rRNA". It matches the Rfam family "Eukaryotic small subunit ribosomal RNA", at positions 28 to 956 of the family's 1831-position model. The record is from RNAcentral.